This 440-nucleotide ribosomal RNA is filed under the name uncultured bacterium. RNAcentral's name for it is "partial 16S ribosomal RNA". It matches the Rfam family "Bacterial small subunit ribosomal RNA", at positions 338 to 795 of the family's 1533-position model. The record is from RNAcentral.
CCUACGGGUGGCAGCAGUGGGGAAUAUUGCACAAUGGGGGGAACCCUGAUGCAGCGACGCCGCGUGAGUGAAGAAGUAUUUCGGUAUGUAAAGCUCUAUCAGCAGGGAAGAAAAUGACGGUUCCUGACUAAGUAACCCCGGCUAAAUACGUGCCAGCAGCCGCGGUAAUACGUAGGGGGCAAGCGUUAUCCGGAUUUUCUGGGUGUAAAGGGGGCGCAGACGGCUGUGCAAGUCUGGAGUGAAAGGCGGGGGCCCAACCCCCGGACUGCUCUUGAAACUGUAAAGCUGGAGUGCAGGAGAGGUAAGCGGAAUUCCUAGUGUAGCGGUGAAAUGCGUAGAUAUUAGGAGGAACACCAGUGGCGAAGGCGGCUUACUGGACUGCAACUGACGUUGAGGCUCGAAAGCGUGGGGAGCAAACAGGAUUAGAUACCCGUGUAGUC